GGAAAGUCAAGAUUCUCAACAAGGAGUUAAUUAUUUUGUGGGGGGAAAUUUUCCUCCCUGGAAACGCUUUGGAAGUAUUUUCUGUCCAGUUAGUAAUGGCACAUCACUGAACACAGUACUUUUAGCACUGGUCAGGAUGACCGGAGGCACCAGGUUGACUUCACACUGCAAGUGGGGUUUGGCUGUGGCACAGGCUUCCUGUGGGGCAUGGAUUGGGGAUGCCUUUGACACAAUAUCUUCCCCUUAAAUGCCCAACUUCCUGGGGCUGUCUGUCCUUGCCUAUGAUCUGUCUAAUCAUUGCAGGAUAAUUCUGGCCUACAAAGAUAGCUUGUUGGCUGCAAGAUUUGGUACAUGUCACUUUGCAGGAGGGAGCCAUGUAGUUGCAGUGAUAGCCCUGGACAGGCUCUGCUCUGACGUGCAGUUCUGGCACAUUCUGAGCUUUCCCAAGCUGCACUGGGGAGGAAAGGGGCUCCUGGGGACAGGUGAUAUCUAUUCAAUGCCUAUGCCCCAGCUUCUCUUCUAUGAACUCCCCAGUGUCUUUCCUAAUUUUCUGAGCUUCAAUAGUCCCAGUAAAGACAGCUCUACUUUUAACUCAACCUCUAUUCUGCACAGAUGAUGACAAGGAGCUACCCUUUUCCUGGGAACUUUCUUGUUUUCCAUAUGUUAUGAUGGGUUUAUUAGACUGCUGCAAAAAGGUCUUCAUCCAUUUUCUGAAAAGGUUUUCAGGAGGAGGCUGUGUUUUCAAGGUUGGGGAAGAUUUGCUCCCAAGUGACUCCCUUGAUGUCUUGUUAUGAAUAGCAUGGCUCUUUCUUCUGAGUUGGGAUGUCCCCAACCCUGCGUCCCCUCCACCAAGCUCUCCUCCAUUAGGUCUUAGAGGGCUCACUCUCUUUGUAGCUGGUGAAAAAUUCUUAACUUGGCAUUUCUGUAAGACGUGCGUAGGGACCCUGGGCUCCUGCUGCUGUGCCACAGGGAUCCCUCUGUCCUCCAAGGGGACAUGCAGCACCUGGGAAGUUCCCCUGUCCCGACUUGAGAUGCCUGGGGCAUGAGUCAGUAAGUCCUUGGAACUCAAGUUAUCUAAGGCAAGAGACAUGCCAGUGAAAUGGCUCUGAGGUUGGCUAUGCUUCCUCUGGACCAACUUUAACUGGCUCAACAUCUGAUUUUUAAGAUAUGAUGAUUUAGGAGUUUGAGGAACUGGUAUUCUUGGUGGGAAAAUUUCAGUUUCAUGAGAAGUGCUUCUUUUCACGUUUGUCACUAAGCAGCUUCCUGACUUGCUGGUUGUCAAGUUCUUCCUAGUUUGUGAUUGAAGAGUACAGAUCUCCUCUUCCUUGAACAUCUCCUUCGACCCAUUGGUGACAGGAAAGGUCUUUCUACUGCCCUGAAGCCUGUUAACAUUAUUACUGGCACUCUCUCUCUUAUCCCUUGAAUCACGGCCAGCUCCAGCUUGCAGUAUGGGCAGCUCUGCGCUGCAUCUACUGGCAAGUACAGUCUGUUUCUGACUGACUUCGUCUAUGAUGCUGUGGGGGCGGGGGCAGAAAAGUCUGUCUGCCAUCCUCAGUUGUCCAGACACUUUCUGUAAGAUCCUCGUCAGUAUCAGCGAAUUCUCUUCAGAGGGUCCCCUGCUUUUCUUGAUCAACAGGUGAGGUGACGAGGUGAGGAUGACCCAAGAUGGAGAAUGAGCUUGUUGUUUCUAAUUUUUCUCCGUGAAAAUAUGUAGUGCCUCUUCUAAGGGGCGUGGAGGCACCAUCUUUGGCAUCUGUCUCUAUAAGGUCAUGGUCAGUAUCAGAAAAUUGUCUUCUCAGGGUCCCCUGCCCUUCUUUGCCAAUAGGUGAGGAGACAGGCUGAGGAUGAUUAAGGACAGGGACUGAGCUUGUUGUUCCCAACUUUUCUCCUUGAAAAGUGCUUCGUCUACGAGACUUAGAGACCCCAUCUUUGGAAUCUCCCUGAGAAAUAAAGCUGGCUGAGGAGGGAAGGUCGAAAAGGGAAAAGGAAUUGGAAAGAUCCUCUUCCGAUUUGAAGAUUUCUAUGGAUUCACGGACCUUGCGGGGAAGGCCCCACAGCAUCCUGAUAUGGAAAGAUUUAAUAUGGGCUUCAUAUGGAAAGAUUUAAUAUGGGCUUCCAACAUCUUUUGUUUGUUGGAACGAAGGAAGGACAUCUCCUGGGAGGUAUCAACGCGGUGGUCCUCACUCACCAAUGCUGCCAAAUUUUGAUGUUUAAUUUGGCAUAUUGUCUGCUUGACUGAGUGCCAUGAACUAUGCACAGUCCCAGGCAUUCGACCCUCAUUGAUUUCCUCAAAUUUCUUGCUCAAAUGUACUGUCAGGGCAUUUUCAAGUUGUUUCUGACCUAGUCUCACCCCUGAGUCAUUCCCUGACAGAUGCAUCAUAUGAGUUUCUAGGUCUCUCUCAGAGUUAGACCUCAGAUUCUCGUCUGAAGAUGUCUCCGGAUCAUGCAACAGGUGAUCUUUUGGGGCAGUCUCCUGGCUGUAUCCCUGAUAAUUCCUCACAUUCUCCAUGGAAAGCAUAUUUGAGCUCCUCUCGUGGAAGCUUCUAGGGAAGCUUGAUGCGGACUUCUUUAGAACAUUGCACCUCUGACCCUCAACCAAAGAGAUAUUUAACGGACCAUGAUUGCUCUCUGACACAGAUAGCUCUGAAAUUUUGCUCUGAGGACGUAGCAAUGACAGAGACUCAUGGAUUCUGCGGGGCAGGCCCCAUCUGCGCUGGAUGAGCCUCUUUCGAAUGUGUUGCUCUAGUUUCUUCCUUACCUCAGAGCUGAGUGGAAAAUCUCGAGGAAUGAUGGAGAUGGGAACAUGGACCUUGAAGGACUUUCUGACCAAUGCAGGAUUGGGAGCUGGAGGACAAAAGUCUUCCUGGGAUUUUUGAACCACAGAGGGUAAGCCCCACACACUUUCCUGCACUUUCUGCAACACGUUCCACUCCAGAUGGUUAAUUUCAGAUGGCAAAAGAGACCGUGCCUCAUUCUGGGGUCUAUGAAAACACACUCCACACACCCUAAUCAGGAAUAGAGGACUAGGUAGUAGGGCUGGGAAUGGACAUUGAGGUUGAGCCUGGGACUGGACCUGAGUGAGAUGUAGGGACUGACCUCGGGGCAGGGUUUGAGGCAAGGGUAGUGGUUGGGUACUAGGCAAGAACAGAGGUUGGGGAGGGGGAAGUACUGGGGGUUCAUGGGAUAUAGAUGUAUUUGUAAUGCCAUUGAAGAAUACAAACAUGGAGGAAUGGCCACGUUGGACAAGAACAGUAGGAUGCAGAGACUCGCUGUGCAAAGAUGGGAGACCCCAGAAGAGCUGGACAUAUUUUUGCUCUAAAUGGUCCUCAAAACACUUAGAAUAUGGGGCCUGCUGAUGGAUGUGCUGCCACUCUAGUUUGCCUUUACUGGCCCAAAAAGGAAAGGAUUCUGCUAAGUCAUGCUUAACAGCAGCUGAGGUUAACAUAUUCCGUGAGGAAUUUAGUUGGUAGUUUCGCCUAAGUUGUGUUGGGAAAGAUCCUGGUUUCUUUCCAUUUUCUUUCCACAUCAGGAAAUCACCCCUUCUUUUGACUUGUCUCUCCAGGAGUGCCAGAAUGUCAUGGCUGAGAAAAGAGAUGUUAACAGGCUGUAUGAUGUUGGCCACAGAGUGCCCCCCUAAAGAGGCCUCAGAAGAAUGAAGGGUAAGAAGCUCCUCCAUGAAAUCAGAUGGCACAAAAUUGGAGGAAAAAGAGUCCUCGGCAUGAGGCUGCCACCAGGAGAAUUCUGAAGAUGCAGGGCAUGAAUGGUCAAUGCCUUUGAUUGUUGGGGCAGAGGUGGAUGACCCACCAGAGCCACCUAGAGAUAACAUUUCCGGAAAAGUCUUCAAGAUGCUCUGCAAUUAAAGUUUCACUGGAGAGCAACCUGUGUUUUUAAUCUCACUGUCCAUGAAGGGCUAAUACGGGCAACAGGAGGUGAGAUGUCUGCUACACUCUUGGAAGUGACCUUGGAGAACUUUCCAGUCUGAGAAACCCCGUCUGCUUUCUCAUUUUACAAAUUGGAAACUGAGGCCAACACAGGGAACAUGACCUACGACGCUUUGGAUCUCCAUGGCAAGCAUUGACACUGGCAAAAAUUAUCUAAUAAACACUUAUAUUGAAUGAGUAAACGUUAGAGAGACAUGGAAGCAAGUAUGAAGGACCUCGCCAGGACUUUAGAUGGACUGAACUGAUCAUAAAAGAAACUUCAGUUCUUGGCCAGGCACAGUGGCUCACGCAUGUAAUCCCAGCACUUUGGGAGGCUGAGGUGGGUGGAUUACCUGAGGUCGAGAAUUCAAGACCAGCCUAGCCAACAUGGUAAAACUGUCUCUACUGAAAAUACAAAAAGUAGCCAGGUGUGGUGACACGUUCCUGUAAUCCCAGCUACUUGGGAGGCUGAGGCAGGAGAAUCACUUGAACCUGGGAGGCGGAGGUUGCAGUGAGCCAAGAUCCCACUACUGCACUCCAGCCUGGGUGACAGAGUGAGGCUCCAUCUCAAAAAGAAAAAAAAAGAAACUUCAGUUCCUGACAAAUUAUAGACUGGAGACAUAGAGAAAAGAUAAUGAUGUGGAUUCUUGAACAAGGGCACAAGACAAUGAAUUUGCUCAUAAACGUGGGCAGAUCUACCGAUUAGACCUGAGGAACAAUGCCUACUGUGUGCCCAGCACUGUGUAAGUUACUUUCAUAUGUACCAACAGACUAAGAUAACAGUAAGCUGUCAAAACUGACUGAGGUCUCCUUGAAUUCUCUCAGACUUGAUUGGCCCCAGAGCUGGGGAUGAGAUGAGCAAGCAUGGACUAUGAGGUUGGUUCAGAUGAAUUUUUGUGAACAAUCGUCUGUCGAUGAAAGGACUGCCUUUGAAGACAAUAUCCUUGGUGAUCUUAAGAGUAUGGUCCUCUGAAGCCAGUGUUCAACAAGAUGUAAAAAUGAGAAGAUUUCAUGCCAUGGAAUUUCUAUCAUAGAUAUGGUUUUUUGUAAUUUUAGCAGUUCCUCUCAACCUUUGCAGCAGUUUUGGAGCCGAGCAGAUGGCAGGGGAGGGCUUAACUAAGUGGUGAAGUUUCAGCUGCAAAAGGCAAUUCCUAGAAUGACAAUUCAGAAACUCAUUUCCCCCAACACUUAUCAUAUUGGCAGAGGGUUAGUGAAUCUUUUUAGAAAAACAAGAAGAAGGCAAUGCAUCAGAAUAAGGCAGCCUAUGUUUGGUUAGGUUAUGUGCAGGCAAACACUACUGAGUCCAAUUCUUUCCUUGCACUGCAAUUCCCAAGGCAACAGGCCAGUCUUGUUUGUAAAUUAAAUAAUAUCCAAAAUAGCUAAAGCUUAGGAUCUGAAAUAUAAGGCACCUCCAGCACAUGGAGCAACUGCUACAUGCAUCCGAAACCAGGGGAUGACAGUUUCAGCUAAGUUGUUCCAACCCUGGCUGGCAUUAAGGACCCCUAGAGUUUCCAGCUAUAUAUCAUAAGGAAACAGCAAGUUUGUAGAAAGAGCAUAAUCUGUGCUCAAAUCCUGCCUCUGAUACUAAAUAACUAUAUGAUCUUGAAAAAAUUACUUUUCCUCUCUGAGCCUCUUUCCACAAAUGGUGGUGGGGUGGGGGAGGGGAUAAUUGCAAUCUCAAAGGCUUAUUGUAAGAAUUCAGUGUGAUAAUAUACAUGAAAGUAAUGAGCAAACCACAAAUCUUAAACUGGUAUCCAUUUUUCUUCAUUUCUAUUCUGCCUAGCUCGGCAGAAGUUUGUCAAAAUAUCUGUUGCUCUUUCAAACUGCUUCAGCUUUGGCUCAUCCAUAAUUUUUUCUUUAUCUUCAAACAACUUUAAUUAUAAUGGUUUGCUUUUCUUAAAAUUUCAUAGCCCAUAUUCUUUGUGAAUGAGACAGUGAGGUUUGGCUUUUGGGACUUUAGUUUUGAUCCUUUACAAUAUGCAUAUAACAAAAACAAUAAAUGUAUUUUAUA
Molecule: long non-coding RNA, 5931 nt
Filed under: Pan troglodytes (chimpanzee)
Lineage: Eukaryota; Metazoa; Chordata; Mammalia; Primates; Hominidae
Description: long non-coding RNA NONPTRT017836
Source: RNAcentral